GAGGAUCAAAGUCAAUGUUGUUC
This 23-nucleotide non-coding RNA is filed under the name Arabidopsis thaliana (thale cress). Lineage: Eukaryota; Viridiplantae; Streptophyta; Magnoliopsida; Brassicales; Brassicaceae. The record is from RNAcentral.